This 420-nucleotide ribosomal RNA is filed under the name Salinivibrio sp. enrichment culture clone TTGE_BC_53. RNAcentral describes it as "bacterial SSU rRNA". It matches the Rfam family "Bacterial small subunit ribosomal RNA", at positions 975 to 1394 of the family's 1533-position model. The record is from RNAcentral. Lineage: Bacteria; Pseudomonadati; Pseudomonadota; Gammaproteobacteria; Vibrionales; Vibrionaceae.
UUCAUCUUGACAUCCAGCGAAGCCUUUAGAGAUAGAGGCGUGCCUUCGGGAGCGCUGAGACAGGUGCUGCAUGGCUGUCGUCAGCUCGUGUUGUGAAAUGUUGGGUUAAGUCCCGCAACGAGCGCAACCCUUAUCCUUGUUUGCCAGCACAUAAUGGUGGGAACUCCAGGGAGACUGCCGGUGAUAAACCGGAGGAAGGUGGGGACGACGUCAAGUCAUCAUGGCCCUUACGAGUAGGGCUACACACGUGCUACAAUGGCAGAUACAGAGGGCAGCGACGCUGCGAAGUAAAGCGAAUCCCUUAAAGUCUGUCGUAGUCCGGAUUGGAGUCUGCAACUCGACUCCAUGAAGUCGGAAUCGCUAGUAAUCGUGGAUCAAAAUGCCACGGUGAAUACGUUCCCGGGUCUUGUACACACGGAA